Molecule: ribosomal RNA, 460 nt
Filed under: uncultured bacterium
Lineage: Bacteria
Description: partial 16S ribosomal RNA
Rfam family: Bacterial small subunit ribosomal RNA
Source: RNAcentral
CCUACGGGUGGCAGCAGUGAGGAAUAUUGGUCAAUGGGCGCGAGCCUGAACCAGCCAAGUAGCGUGCAGGAUGACGGCCCUACGGGUUGUAAACUUCUUUUAUAAAGGAAUAAAGUGAGGCACGUGUGCCUUUUUGUAAGUACUUUAUGAAUAAGGAUCGGCUAACUCCGUGCCAGCAGCCGCGGUAAUACGGAGGAUCCGAGCGUUAUCCGGAUUUAUUGGGUUUAAAGGGAGCGUAGGUGGGUUGUUAAGUCAGUUGUGAAAGUUUGCGGCUCAACCGUAAAAUUGCAAUUGAUACUGGCAGUCUUGAGUACAGUUGAGGUAGGCGGAAUGCAUGGUGUAGCGGUGAAAUGCUUAGAGAUCACGAAGAACUCCGAUUGCGAAGGCAGCUUACUAAGCUGCCACUGACAUUGAGGCACGAAAGUGUGGGUAGCAAACAGGAUUAGAUACCCGAGUAGUC